CCUACGGGGGGCUGCAGUGAGGAAUAUUGGUCAAUGGGCGAGAGCCUGAACCAGCCAAGUCGCGUGAGGGAGUACUGCCCUAUGGGUUGUAAACCUCUUUUGUCGGGGAGCAAAAGCCGGACGUGUCCGGCUGUGAGAGUACCCGAAGAAAAAGCAUCGGCUAACUCCGUGCCAGCAGCCGCGGUAAUACGGAGGAUGCGAGCGUUAUCCGGAUUUAUUGGGUUUAAAGGGUGCGCAGGCGGAUUUUUAAGUCAGCGGUAAAAUCGUGGGGCUCAACCCCAUCCAGCCGUUGAAACUGGGGAUCUAGAGUGUGCGAGAGGUAUGCGGAAUGCGUGGUGUAGCGGUGAAAUGCAUAGAUAUCACGCAGAACCCCGAUUGCGAAGGCAGCAUACCGGUGCACAACUGACGCUCGGGCACGAAAGCGUGGGUAUCGAACAGGAUUAGAUACCCUGGUAGUC
This 458-nucleotide ribosomal RNA is filed under the name uncultured bacterium. Its description in RNAcentral is "partial 16S ribosomal RNA". It matches the Rfam family "Bacterial small subunit ribosomal RNA", at positions 338 to 795 of the family's 1533-position model. The record is from RNAcentral.